AGCAGCCGCGGUAAUUCCAGCUCCAAUAGCGUAUAUUAAAGUUGUUGCAGUUAAAAGCUCGUAGUUGAAUUUCGGGAUUGGCGCAUCGGUCGUGCCUCACGGGGUAUGAACUGGUGCAGUCAAUUUCUCACCUUCUGGAGAACCGCGAUGUCCUUAAUUGGAUGCCGCGGGGAACCAGGACCUUUACUUUGAAAAAUUGAGUGUUUAAAGCAGGCAUUUUUGCUUGAAUACAUUAGCAUGGAAUAAUAAAAUAGGACGGCAUGGUUCUAUUUUGUUGGUUUCUAGGACCACCGUAAUGAUUAAUAGGGAUAGUUGGGGGCAUUAGUAUUCAAUUGUCAGAGGUGAAAUUCUUGGAUUUAUUGAAGACUAACUACUGCGAAAGCAUUUGCCAAGGAUGUUUUCAUUAAUCAAGAACGAAAGUUAGGGAUCGAAGACGAUCAGAUACCGUCGUAGUCUUAACCAUAAACUAUGCCGACUAGGAAUCAGACGAUGUUAAUUUUUAAUGUACUUCGUUUGGCUA
Molecule: unclassified non-coding RNA, 520 nt
Filed under: uncultured Entrophospora
Lineage: Eukaryota; Fungi; Glomeromycota; Glomeromycetes; Entrophosporales; Entrophosporaceae
Description: SSU rRNA
Rfam family: Eukaryotic small subunit ribosomal RNA
Source: RNAcentral